GCCGACCUGCCAAGUUGGUGAUGGUGGUAACCGAUUUUUGAACCAACACCGAAUGAACGGGGGCCUGACUCGUAAUCGAUCCGGUGUGCAGUGCUCCGCCAUGCGGAGAUGCCUAAAGGGUCGCGGCGGGUUCCCAUCGUCUAACGACGGGUUCAUUCUCGGCCUACCACACGGCAUAGCGGGUCGGCU
RNAcentral lists this non-coding RNA (189 nucleotides) under Terriglobia bacterium. RNAcentral describes it as "6S RNA". It matches the Rfam family "6S / SsrS RNA". Rfam says of the family: E. coli 6S RNA was the first non coding RNA to be sequenced, but its function was unknown until recently. It consists of 184 nucleotides that fold into an extended hairpin structure with a large single-stranded internal bulge. Lineage: Bacteria; Pseudomonadati; Acidobacteriota; Terriglobia. The record is from RNAcentral.